GCGCAUCUGUGCAUGCAGCAUAUCAAUAAGCGGAGGAAAAGAAACUAACAAGGAUUCCCUUAGUAACGGCGAGUGAAGCGGGAAGAGCUCAAAUUUGAAAUCUUCAAGGUUUUACCUUGACGAAUUGUAGUUUAAAGAAGUGUUUUCUGUUGAAGUUUUGGUAAAAGUUCUUUGGAAUAGGACAUCAUAGAGGGUGAGAAUCCCGUAUUUGACCAUUAUUUUCAGCUGUGUGAUACACUUUCAAAGAGUCGGAUUGUUUGGGAAUGCAGUCCAAAAUGGGUGGUAAAUUUCAUCUAAAGCUAAAUAUUGGCGAGAGACCGAUAGCGAACAAGUACCGUGAGGGAAAGAUGAAAAGAACUUUGAAAAGAGAGUUAAACAGUACGUGAAAUUGUCAAAAGGGAAGCGUUUGACACCAGUGUUGUUUUCUCGAAAAUCAAUUAAAAAGAGUUAGAUUUUGUUGUGUAUUGACCUUAACAGCUUGCAUUUCAAUUUUCUUGCUUUUUUUAAUGCACUUUUCGUUUAACAAGUCAACAUCAGUUUCUUUUGUUGUAAAAAGGUCAUUGGAAGGUGGCUUUCUUUUCGGAGAAAGUGUUUAUAGCCUUUGACUCCUGCAAUCGGAGAGACUGAGGUCUGCAGCGUAGAUCCUUCGGGGUUAGAUACAUUUGUGCUAAGUUAUAGCUUUUUAUAGACAACUUGUUGACUAUGAUUAGUCUUGUAGCUUACUCGCUUAUGCUAUUUUACCUACGCUUAGGAUGUUGACACACGCGCGUGCUCG
Molecule: ribosomal RNA, 775 nt
Filed under: uncultured Neocallimastigales
Lineage: Eukaryota; Fungi; Neocallimastigomycota; Neocallimastigomycetes; Neocallimastigales
Description: partial large subunit ribosomal RNA
Rfam family: Eukaryotic large subunit ribosomal RNA
Source: RNAcentral